RNAcentral lists this ribosomal RNA (492 nucleotides) under uncultured bacterium. RNAcentral describes it as "partial 16S ribosomal RNA". It matches the Rfam family "Bacterial small subunit ribosomal RNA", at positions 29 to 507 of the family's 1533-position model. The record is from RNAcentral.
AUUGAACGCUGGCGGCAUGCUUUACACAUGCAAGUCGAACGGUAACAGGCCUUCGGGUGCUGACGAGUGGCGAACGGGUGAGUAAUGCAUCGGAACGUACCCAGAGGUGGGGGAUAACGCAGCGAAAGCUGUGCUAAUACCGCAUGUGAUCUGAGGAUGAAAGCGGGGGACCGAGCAGCAAUGUUUGGCCUCGCGCCUUUGGAGCGGCCGAUGUCGGAUUAGCUAGUUGGUGGGGUAAAGGCCUACCAAGGCGACGAUCCGUAGCUGGUCUGAGAGGACGACCAGCCACACUGGGAGUGGGACACGGCCCAGACUCCUACGGGAGGCAGCAGUGGGGAAUUUUGGACAAUGGGCGCAAGCCUGAUCCAGCAAUGCCGCGUGCGGGAAGAAGGCCUUCGGGUUGUAAACCGCUUUUGGCAGGAACGAAACGGUGUCCGCUAAUACCGGGCGCUAAUGACGGUACCUGCAGAAUAAGCACCGGCUAACUACGUG